This is a long non-coding RNA of Ailuropoda melanoleuca (giant panda), 1807 nucleotides long. RefSeq lists it as uncharacterized. The record is from RefSeq and is a predicted model, not a curated record. Lineage: Eukaryota; Metazoa; Chordata; Mammalia; Carnivora; Ursidae. The transcript is spliced from 3 exons.
GUCGAUGUUUUUACAGAAGCAAGGGUUGUACCUGAUUGAUUGAUUGAUUUUAUAUUUUUACGUUUUGGUUUUUUUUGUUUGCUGUUUUUCUGGAAAAACCAGCAUUGGGAGCUCUUAGUCUGCCAUCACCUGACUUCAGCUGGAACAUCUGGGAGACUGUUGCUUUAAUGUCCUUGUCUAGCAGGUUUGCAUUCUGCUCAUUCUCAUAGACAUUUCUAUUGAUUGAUUUUCCCCCCUUUCAAUGGUCAUACUUUCCUGAUUCUUUGUAGGCUUGUAAUUUUUUUUUGAAAACUGGACAUUUGAAUCUUAUGUGAUAACCCUGGAAAUCAGACUCUCCCCUUCCCCAGAGUUUGCAGAGCUUUUUUGGUUGUUCUUUUUUGCCCUUGUUUUUUGGUCACUCUCUUGUGUGGAGUGUCUCUGUGCCAGGAAUCCACAUAAGGUGUCAACUUAAGAAUCUCUCAGAUCAUUUAUGAGCCUGCACCUUUCCCAGGCCAUGGGUCACUUCCUGAAUGUCCCUGUAUUUGCAGUUCCUUCUCCGUGUUCUAGUCCUUACACGCUUGCCUCCCAAAAUGGGAAAAAAAGGGAAAAUGAAGGGAGGCAAGGCCCCAGGCGCUUUAAACACCCUUGAAGUUGCUUCAAUCAGAGUAGAAAAGAUUUAUGCUGUUGGCGGUGGGCUUGCAAACAUGGUUGCCAGCAUCUUCACUGCAUCCCCAUGACCAAAGCAGCAAGCAGCAAUCAGAUACUUAUUCCUGAUGUUUGGAACAUAGCAUCCUAAUUGCUCACCUUAGUUUCCAGAAGCUGUGUUCAAACUGCUGUAGGGACUCCUGCUGUCUGCCUGCAACAGGCCCGGGUGCUGGGAGAUUACCAUCUAAUUGCUUGCCUAAUCUCUGGUGCUGGGCUGAAAAUGACUGAAAUGAACUACAGUUUACCCUCCAAGCCUUCCUGCUGCAAGGUGCAAGACUUCCAUAGACUCCAGCUCUCCACAAUAGUUACGUGAGACCGAUCCCCCCCGUGCACCUGCUGUCCAGGAGGAGACGAGGACCACAGAUGCUGCCGGCUCCUCCAUCUGCCCCGACAGAGCUUCUUCACAGUCAGCCAGUGCAACUUAGAGCUGCUACUGGGUUUAGCACACUCUUUCAUUGUGGGGGUCUCAUUACAGCUUUACUGAGAUUGUAUUCACCUACCACUCACUGAGUGCUCGUUAGCAGUCAUCCCCCGCUUCUCCCACCGCCUCUCCCCCAGGCCUAGGCAACCACUAAUCUACUUUCCACCUCUAUAGAUUUGCCUUUUAUGGACAUUUCUUAAAAUUGGAAUCAUACAACACACGGUCCUUUGUGAUGGGCUCUUUCAUAUAGCGUGUUGUCAGGUGCAUACAUGCUGUCGUUAGGGUGUUAAUUUGCAUUUCCCUCGGCAAAGGGGAGAAAGCACAUUGCCAUAUUCAUGUUUAUAAUUUAGAUUGCUUCUUUCUAGCUUUCCCAUUUUUCCCCUUUCCCAGUGCUCACCGUGCUGUGUGCCCUGGGAGACCAUCCUCCAUCGACCCCUUAUGGACUGGACUCUCGUAUCUCCAAAUCCUCCCAUGCCUUCUGGCUGCCACUUAAGUUUGGCAAAUGGGAAGCUUUAGGCCAUUUAUUCAUAGGGUCCACAGUGAACAUGGGGCUCAAACUCACAAUCCUGGAAUCAAGAAUCACAUACUCUACCAUCUGAGCCAGCCAGGAGCCCCCAACGCCUGGAUUUCUGACUAAAAAACAAGAUAGAGACAGCCAGCGAGAGAGGGAACACAAGCAGGGGGAGUGGGAGAGGAAGAAGC